AGGCAGCAGUGGGGAAUAUUGCACAAUGGGGGAAACCCUGAUGCAGCGACGCCGCGUGAGUGAAGAAGUAUUUCGGUAUGUAAAGCUCUAUCAGCAAGGAAGAAAAUGACGGUACUUGACUAAGAAGCCCCGGCUAACUACGUGCCAGCAGCCGCGGUAAU
RNAcentral lists this ribosomal RNA (161 nucleotides) under uncultured bacterium. RNAcentral's name for it is "partial 16S ribosomal RNA". It matches the Rfam family "Bacterial small subunit ribosomal RNA", at positions 346 to 524 of the family's 1533-position model. The record is from RNAcentral.